This 76-nucleotide transfer RNA is filed under the name Terriglobus albidus. Its description in RNAcentral is "tRNA-Met". It matches the Rfam family "tRNA". Rfam says of the family: Transfer RNA (tRNA) molecules are approximately 80 nucleotides in length. The record is from RNAcentral. RNAcentral also lists the same sequence under 1 other name. Lineage: Bacteria; Pseudomonadati; Acidobacteriota; Terriglobia; Terriglobales; Acidobacteriaceae.
GGGCCUGUAGCUCAACGGUUAGAGCAGGGGACUCAUAAUCCCUUGGCUGCAGGUUCGAAUCCUGCCGGGCCCACCA